This 154-nucleotide small RNA is filed under the name Vigna angularis var. angularis. Its description in RNAcentral is "Non-protein coding transcript". The record is from RNAcentral. Lineage: Eukaryota; Viridiplantae; Streptophyta; Magnoliopsida; Fabales; Fabaceae.
GUUGUCCUUGUGAAGUGCUGUGUUUUGUAACAAAGGCUGAGAUGAAUGCAACUUCUGUUACUGCUCCUUCCCUUCACACCAAAGGUGGUGGCCUGCGUGGAAAAUUGAAUAAGGUGGUGCUGGCUUACAGUGGUGGAUUAGAUACAUCAGUCAU